This 801-nucleotide ribosomal RNA is filed under the name Salmonella enterica subsp. enterica serovar Virchow. RNAcentral describes it as "partial 23S ribosomal RNA". The stretch from base 88 to 801 matches the Rfam family "Bacterial large subunit ribosomal RNA", at positions 566 to 1280 of the family's 2925-position model. Lineage: Bacteria; Pseudomonadati; Pseudomonadota; Gammaproteobacteria; Enterobacterales; Enterobacteriaceae. The record is from RNAcentral.
CCACCACCAAAGCAUUCUCUGGUGUUGAAGGCCCUGCAAAGCAGCAUCGCGGUGGCGGAGCGUCGUUUGCGACGCCCAACACACAAAACAAGCGGUGAGUGCUUUGGGGUGGGGUGACUGCGUACCUUUUGUAUAAUGGGUCAGCGACUUAUAUUCUGUAGCAAGGUUAACCGAAUAGGGGAGCCGGAGGGAAACCGAGUCUUAAUUGGGCGUUAAGUUGCAGGGUAUAGACCCGAAACCCGGUGAUCUAGCCAUGGGCAGGUUGAAGGUUGGGUAACACUAACUGGAGGACCGAACCGACUAAUGUUGAAAAAUUAGCGGAUGACCUGUGGCUGGGGGUGAAAGGCCAAUCAAACCGGGAGAUAGCUGGUUCUCCCCGAAAGCUAUUUAGGUAGCGCCUCGUGAAUUCAUCUCCGGGGGUAGAGCACUGUUUCGGCUAGGGGGCCAUCCCGGCUUACCAACCCGAUGCAAACUGCGAAUACCGGAGAAUGUUAUCACGGGAGACACACGGCGGGUGCUAACGUCCGUCGUGAAGAGGGAAACAACCCAGACCGCCAGCUAAGGUCCCAAAGUCAUGGUUAAGUGGGAAACGAUGUGGGAAGGCCCAGACAGCCAGGAUGUUGGCUUAGAAGCAGCCAUCAUUUAAAGAAAGCGUAAUAGCUCACUGGUCGAGUCGGCCUGCGCGGAAGAUGUAACGGGGCUAAACCAUGCACCGAAGCUGCGGCAGCGACACUCAGGUGUUGUUGGGUAGGGGAGCGUUCUGUAAGCCUGUGAAGGUGGCCUGUGAGGGUUGCUGGAGGU